AGUGAACGCUGGCGGUAGGCCUACACAUGCAAGUCGCACGGCAGCACAGUAAGAGCUUGCUCUUACGGGUGGCGAGUGGCGGACGGGUGAGGAAUACAUCGGAAUCUACUUUUUCGUGGGGGAUAACGUAGGGAAACUUACGCUAAUACCGCAUACGACCUACGGGUGAAAGCAGGGGAUCUUCGGACCUUGCGCGAUUGAAUGAGCCGAUGUCGGAUUAGCUAGUUGGCGGGGUAAAGGCCCACCAAGGCGACGAUCCGUAGCUGGUCUGAGAGGAUGAUCAGCCACACUGGAACUGAGACACGGUCCAGACUCCUACGGGAGGCAGCAGUGGGGAAUAUUGGACAAUGGGCGCAAGCCUGAUCCAGCCAUACCGCGUGGGUGAAGAAGGCCUUCGGGUUGUAAAGCCCUUUUGUUGGGAAAGAAAAGCAGCAGGUUAAUACCCCGCUGUUCUGACGGUACCCAAAGAAUAAGCACCGGCUAUCUUCGUG
This 491-nucleotide ribosomal RNA is filed under the name uncultured bacterium. RNAcentral describes it as "partial 16S ribosomal RNA". It matches the Rfam family "Bacterial small subunit ribosomal RNA", at positions 29 to 507 of the family's 1533-position model. The record is from RNAcentral.